RNAcentral lists this ribosomal RNA (465 nucleotides) under uncultured bacterium. Its description in RNAcentral is "partial 16S ribosomal RNA". It matches the Rfam family "Bacterial small subunit ribosomal RNA", at positions 28 to 507 of the family's 1533-position model. The record is from RNAcentral.
GACGAACGCUGGCGGCGUGCUUGACACAUGCAAGUCGAACGCUGAACCCGCUUCGGUGGGGGAUGAGUGGCGAACGGGUGAGUAACACGUGGGCAACCUGCCCCCGGCUCUGGGAUAACUCCAAGAAAUUGGGGCUAAUACCGGAUGUGACCGCUGGCCGCAUGGUCUGGUGGUGGAAAGGGUUUCCGGCUGGGGAUGGGCCCGCGGCCUAUCAGCUUGUUGGUGGGGUAGUGGCCUACCAAGGCGACGACGGGUAGCCGGCCUGAGAGGGUGACCGGCCACCAGGGGACUGAGACACGGCCCAGAAUCCUACGGGAGGCAGCAGUGGGGAAUAUUGCGCAAUGGGCGGAAGCCUGACGCAGCGACGCCGCGUGGGGGAUGACGGCCUUCGGGUUGUAAACCUCUUUCAGCAGGGACGAAGCGGAAGUGACGGUACCUGCAGAAGAAGCACCGGCCAACUACGUG